GGAAUCUUCCACAAUGGGCGCAAGUCUGAUGGAGCAACGGCCGGCGUGAGUGAAGAAGGUCUUCGGAUCGUAAAGCUCUGUUGUUGGUGAAGAAGGAUAGAGGCAGUAACUGGUCUUUAUUUGACGGUAAUCAACCAGAAAGUCACGGCUAACUACGUGCCAGCAGCCGCGGUAAUACGUAGGUGGCAAGCGUUGUCCGGAUUUAUUGGGCGUAAAGCGAGCGCAGGCGGAAUGAUAAGUCUGAUGUGAAAGCCCACGGCUCAACCGUGGAACUGCAUCGGAAACUGUCAUUCUUGAGUGCAGAAGAGGAGAGUGGAACUCCAUGUGUAGCGGUGGAAUGCGUAGAUAUAUGGAAGAACACCAGUGGCGAAGGCGGCUCUCUGGUCUGCAACUGACGCUGAGGCUCGAAAGCAUGGGGUAGCGAACAGGAUUAGAUACCCUGGUAGUCCAUGCCGUAAACGAUGAGCGCUAGGUGUUGGGGACUUUCCGGUGCCUCAGUGCC
RNAcentral lists this ribosomal RNA (502 nucleotides) under uncultured bacterium. RNAcentral's name for it is "partial 16S ribosomal RNA". It matches the Rfam family "Bacterial small subunit ribosomal RNA", at positions 358 to 847 of the family's 1533-position model. The record is from RNAcentral.